UAAAAAACGAUGAACAGAAUAGUACGUUGGUUGGUUAAAGACAGAGAGCUUCGGUUGCUGAGAGCGAGGUAUGACUGAUGAAUGGAAUCACAUCUGUGAGUUAGUUUCCUGAAUUUAGUAGGGAGACUCGGGAAGCCCCGUUAACACGUUGAGUUUGAUGAACAAACUUGCUGAGUCUGUGCUUGUGAAAGUGCAGUAACGUUGAGGUGGAACCGCGGAUAUCGCCCUCGCA
RNAcentral lists this non-coding RNA (232 nucleotides) under Paucilactobacillus suebicus. RNAcentral describes it as "Lactobacillus suebicus T-box sequence". It matches the Rfam family "T-box leader". From Rfam's summary of the family: Uncharged tRNA acts as the effector for transcription antitermination of genes in the T-box leader family. Lineage: Bacteria; Bacillati; Bacillota; Bacilli; Lactobacillales; Lactobacillaceae. The record is from RNAcentral.